CGCUGACCGGCCCGGCCGGCCGGCCCCUUCUGGGUCCUCCCUGUGCAGCCCGUGCGGGGCCGUCCCGGAGACCCCGCGCCGACGGCUGCUCAAACAUCAGGGCUGGCCUCAAACUGGAAGUGAUCCUCCUGCCUCACCUUCCCGAUUGCUGACCUACACUACCAUGCCUGGCUAGCUGGCCCCCGAGAGGACGCUGUCCAAGUCCCCAGCCGGGGGCCCCGCGUAGACCUGGAGUGGAUGCCCCCUCCUUCCCUUCAUGAUUCGCUUGUAGCGCAGGUAACUGGGAAGGGGGUCCCGUCCCGUCCUGGGGCAGCCUCCUCUCCAUGCACUUCCUGGGCCCACCGUGGGCAUGGGGGAGAAGGCCUGGCCCCUGGCCCUGGGUCCUAAGGGCCUCCCUCCCCCAGCCCUCCCCUCCAGACGCUCGGCCGGCUGUGCCUUUUCUGGCUCCCUUCAGGCAGGUUGUCAAAGGAGGGUCUCAUUGGCCACAAAUCUGGUGACGCAGAGAGAAGCAGGCACCACUGGGGCUGCUGAGGAGCAGGGCGGUCACCUGUACGGCGUGUCCUGUCUGCGCCUUGUGGUGGGAGGGGAGUGUGGGAGCGGGCGUGUAACACGUCCUGGGUGGGUGUGUCUGAGCGGGGUCAGCUGCCCCGGCGCACAGGGGAGAAGCCCCACGUCCGCCUCCGGGCCCGCCUGAGACCGCCUUUCGCAGAGGUCGGGUGGUGAUGAGGAGGUCACUGCCAGGUGCAAUCAGAGCGCUUUCCGGUGAGGGCCCCCACAGAGCUGCGUGCCUGUGUGUGAGAGGUGCCCCACCUGGUCCGCACGCCCGACCUCUCGGACAUGACUGCCUCACCGUGCGUGCGUGGAUGGGGAGGUCUAGAAAGGAAGGACAUGGGUGGGUGGAGGCUUGGAAG
This is a long non-coding RNA of Heterocephalus glaber (naked mole-rat), 911 nucleotides long. The record is from Ensembl. NCBI's taxonomy places the organism in Eukaryota, Metazoa, Chordata, Mammalia, Rodentia, Bathyergidae.